CUGCACACCUGGGCAGGGCACGGCCCUGACGGCAGCUGCCGGCCCCGCACCUGCCCCAAUUUAUGGGGCACUGUGGGCACUGCCUCCCCUUGUGCUGCUGCUGCUCAGCCCAGCCAGCUCUCCCUAUAAAUACGUUCAUGCCCCAGCCCAGGAAGUGCACAAAGCCCUGUACCUGGCCAAUGCCUCCUGGACGGACAGAUGGAUGGAUCCUCUUCCCAGUCUUGCUGCUCACUGAAAUUAAAUCUUAUGGACACGUGCUUCAAAUCUGCUCGUUUAUAAAGAAUUUCAUCCCUGUUAAGCAUGCUCGCGCUAAUUUUCCCUGUUAAUCUGACUUGUGUCGUGGGAGAGAAAUGCAGGUGGGUUUUUCCCCCAGUAUUUCGAGUGAUCCCAAUCCAUCCCUGCUUUGCUGGGCUCGCUCAGAGCCUGGAGCCGAGCUGGGGCUGCGCCAGGCGCUGCAGCAGGACGGAGCCAGCAGAGGGAAGGCGAGAGCGCGGGAUGCAGCUUCCCUGCUCCGCAGUCAUCAGGAGAGGGAAAAAUGGCCACUGGAUGCCUAUUAUUUUUUUCUAAAUAACUGUGAUCUAAUCAAGCUAACGAGCAAUGCAGUCUGCAGCCAUCCACCUGAUAGCUGUGUCAGAGGAAGCAGCUGGUCCUGCAGGUGUCUCCCCAUCCACAAACCUGGCUGUGGGGCUCCCACCAGCUGGCAGCUGCAAUUCUCAUCCAAUGCCCAGUGUCAUCACAACCACAGCCCCACCAGUACCUAUGCCACUGCCUGCUCCUGCCCCUCAUCCACCUUGAUGUGUGAGCAUUAAACCAUUGUACCAACAGCCGAACCAUCCUGGCUUGUGCAGAGCAUCCCUGCUGUCCCAUGUGCCAUGCUUAGCCAUGGGGACACAGCCAUUUCGGGGCUGAGAGCCACCAGAAAAGUCCUGCAGUGCCCGGCUCCCACUGGUGUCACCGCUCUGGGACACAGGAGGGGUGACAGGGCCCUGGCCCCAGGUGACAGGGUGGUGGUGGUGCUGUGUGUGCAGUGCCCUGGGCAGCUCUCUCCUGGCCCAGGUCCUGAGUGCCCAGAUCCAGCUCCAGGGAUGUUCAGGAAUAUAUUUAGGAAUAUUUACUCUGGAAGAUGGGAUCGUGGUGCUGCUCCAAGCUGUCCUUUUAGGUGAAGCGCAAACAGGUUCGUUUAAACAAGGUCAUCCCUUUAACAGGUUUAAGUGGGUUUCACUGUAAAAUAAAUUUAUUUCAACAAAACCUUUUUUGAUAAAUUAAACCAGCCCCACUCUGUAUAUAAUUUCUAUAAACAGUCUUCUCUAAUGUUUACCUAACCUGGGCACACAGAAACUCUUGCACAUUAAAUAUUAGAUGAAAAGGA
Long non-coding RNA from Oxyura jamaicensis (ruddy duck), 1369 nucleotides. RefSeq lists it as uncharacterized. The record is from RefSeq and is a predicted model, not a curated record. The transcript has 2 exons. Lineage: Eukaryota; Metazoa; Chordata; Aves; Anseriformes; Anatidae.